Molecule: unclassified non-coding RNA, 334 nt
Filed under: soil metagenome
Description: partial contains 5.8S ribosomal RNA, internal transcribed spacer 2, and large subunit ribosomal RNA
Rfam family: 5.8S ribosomal RNA (bases 1-120)
Source: RNAcentral
GAUGAAGAACGUAGCGAAAUGCGAUAAGUAAUGUGAAUUGCAGAAUUCAGUGAAUCAUCGAAUCUUUGAACGCACAUUGCGCCCGCCAGCAUUCUGGCGGGCAUGCCUGUUCGAGCGUCAUUUCAACCAUCAAGCCCCCGGCUUGUGUUGGGGACCUGCGGCUGCCGCAGGCCCUGAAAACCAGUGGCGGGCUCGCUAGUCACUCCGAGCGUAGUAAUACAUCUCGCUCAGGGCGUGCUGCGGGUUCCGGCCGUUAAAAGCCUUAUUUACCCAAGGUUGACCUCGGAUCAGGUAGGAAGACCCGCUGAACUUAAGCAUAUCAAUAAGCGGAGGA